This 581-nucleotide ribosomal RNA is filed under the name uncultured bacterium. Its description in RNAcentral is "partial 16S ribosomal RNA". It matches the Rfam family "Bacterial small subunit ribosomal RNA", at positions 355 to 928 of the family's 1533-position model. The record is from RNAcentral.
UGGGGAAUUUUGGACAAUGGGCGAAAGCCUGAUCCAGCAAUGCCGCGUGUGUGAAGAAGGCCUUCGGGUUGUAAAGCACUUUUGUCCGGAAAGAAAUCCUUGGCUCUAAUACAGUCGGGGGAUGACGGUACCGGAAGAAUAAGCACCGGCUAACUACGUGCCAGCAGCCGCGGUAAUACGUAGGGUGCAAGCGUUAAUCGGAAUUACUGGGCGUAAAGCGUGCGCAGGCGGUUUGCUAAGACCGAUGUGAAAUCCCCGGGCUCAACCUGGGAACUGCAUUGGUGACUGGCAGGCUAGAGUAUGGCAGAGGGGGGUAGAAUUCCACGUGUAGCAGUGAAAUGCGUAGAGAUGUGGAGGAAUACCGAUGGCGAAGGCAGCCCCCUGGGCCAAUACUGACGCUCAUGCACGAAAGCGUGGGGAGCAAACAGGAUUAGAUACCCUGGUAGUCCACGCCCUAAAACGAUGUCAACUAGUUGUUGGGGAUUCAUUUCCUUAGUAACGUAGCUAACGCGUGAAGUUGACCGCCUGGGGAGUACGGUCGCAAGAUUAAAACUCAAAUGAAUUGACCGGGGUCAUAGCUG